Molecule: ribosomal RNA, 253 nt
Filed under: uncultured bacterium
Lineage: Bacteria
Description: partial 16S ribosomal RNA
Rfam family: Bacterial small subunit ribosomal RNA
Source: RNAcentral
CACGUAGGGCGCAAGCGUUGUCCGGAAUUAUUGGGCGUAAAGAGCUCGUAGGCGGUCUGUCGCGUCUGCUGUGAAAAUCCAGGGCUCAACCCUGGACCUGCAGUGGGUACGGGCAGACUAGAGUGCGGUAGGGGAGAUCGGAAUUCCUGGUGUAGCGGUGAAAUGCGCAGAUAUCAGGAGGAACACCGGUGGCGAAGGCGGAUCUCUGGGCCGUAACUGACGCUGAGGAGCGAAAGCGUGGGGAGCGAACAGG